AGCUCCAAUAGCGUAUAUUAAAGUUGUUGCAGUUAAAAAGCUCGUAGUUGGAUUUCUGACAGGAGCGACCGGUCUCGAGCUUCAUGUUCGUUGCACUUGUGUCCGUCUCUAGUCAUCCUUAUGGAGAACGUGUGUGUCAUUAAGUUGACGUGCAUGGGAACCAUAUCGUUUACUGUGAAAAAAUUAGAGUGUUUAAAGCAGGCAAUCGCUGUGAAUACAUUAGCAUGGAAUAAUAAGAUAGGACUUUGGUACUAUUUUGUUGGUUUGCAUACCAAGGUAAUGAUUAAGAGGGACAGUUGGGGGUAUUCGUAUUUACAUGUCAGAGGUGAAAUUCUUGGAUUUUGGAAAGACGAACUACUGCGAAAGCAUUUACCAAGGAUGUUUUCAUUAAUCAAGAACG
Molecule: ribosomal RNA, 400 nt
Filed under: phytoplankton environmental sample
Lineage: Eukaryota
Description: partial small subunit ribosomal RNA
Rfam family: Eukaryotic small subunit ribosomal RNA
Source: RNAcentral